CUAUAUACCGCCGUCGUCAGUUUACCCUGUAAAGGACUAAUAGUAAACAAAAUGGGCUCACCCAAAAACGUCAGGUCGAGGUGUAGCGAAUGAAGUGGGAAGAAAUGGGCUACAUU
This 116-nucleotide ribosomal RNA is filed under the name Hemicetopsis candiru. RNAcentral describes it as "partial 12S ribosomal RNA". The record is from RNAcentral. Lineage: Eukaryota; Metazoa; Chordata; Actinopteri; Siluriformes; Cetopsidae.